UCCGAGGUAGUUCAGUGGUAGAACGCAGCGCUGUUAACGCUGAUGUCACAGGUUCGAAUCCUGUCCUCGGAGCCA
Molecule: transfer RNA, 75 nt
Filed under: Candidatus Magasanikbacteria bacterium CG_4_10_14_0_2_um_filter_37_12
Lineage: Bacteria; Candidatus Magasanikiibacteriota
Description: tRNA-Asn
Rfam family: tRNA
About the family: Transfer RNA (tRNA) molecules are approximately 80 nucleotides in length. Their secondary structure includes four short double-helical elements and three loops (D, anti-codon, and T loops). Further hydrogen bonds mediate the characteristic L-shaped molecular structure. tRNAs have two regions of fundamental functional importance: the anti-codon, which is responsible for specific mRNA codon recognition, and the 3' end, to which the tRNAs corresponding amino acid is attached (by aminoacyl-tRNA synthetases). tRNAs cope with the degeneracy of the genetic code in two manners: having more than one tRNA (with a specific anti-codon) for a particular amino acid; and 'wobble' base-pairing, i.e. permitting non-standard base-pairing at the 3rd anti-codon position.
Source: RNAcentral